CUAAUACAUGCAAGUCGAGCGCGGGAAGCAGGUUUCAGUCUUCGGACGGACGUCUGUGGAACGAGCGGCGGAUGGGUGAGUAACACGUGGGUAACCUGCCUGUAAGCUUGGGAUAACUCGCGGAAACGUGAGCUAAUACCGAAUGAUCCUAACGUUCGCAUGAACGUUAGGUAAAAGGCGGCUUUUGCUGUCACUUACAGAUGGACCCGCGGCGCAUUAGUUAGUUGGUGGGGUAACGGCUCACCAAAGCGACGAUGCGUAGCCGACCUGAGAGGGUGAUCGGCCACACUGGGACUGAGACACGGCCCAGACUCCUACGGGAGGCAGCAGUAGGGAAUCUUCCGCAAUGGACGAAAGUCUGACGGAGCGACGCCGCGUGAGUGAUGAAGGUCUUCGGAUCGUAAAACUCUGUUGUUAGGGAAGAAUAAGUACGGACUGAAAAGGUCAGUACCUUGACGGUACCUAACCAGAAAGCCCCGGCUAACUACGUGCCAGCAGCCGCGGUAAUACGUAGGGGGCAAGCGUUGUCCGGAAUUAUUGGGCGUAAAGGGCGCGCAGGCGGUCUUUUAAGUCUGAUGUGAAAUCUCGUAGCUUAACUACGAGCGGUCAUUGGAAACUGGAAGACUUGAGGACAGAAGAGGAGAGUGGAAUUCCACGUGUAGCGGUGAAAUGCGUAGAGAUGUGGAGGAACACCAGUGGCGAAGGCGA
This 708-nucleotide ribosomal RNA is filed under the name uncultured bacterium. RNAcentral's name for it is "bacterial SSU rRNA". It matches the Rfam family "Bacterial small subunit ribosomal RNA", at positions 48 to 724 of the family's 1533-position model. The record is from RNAcentral.